UGGCUCAGAACGAACGCUGGCGGCGUGCUUAACACAUGCAAGUCGAACGCGAAAGUGGUCUUCGGACCGCGAGUAGAGUGGCGCACGGGUGAGUAACGCGUAGAUAAUCUACCCUGGUGUUUGGAAUAACCAGCCGAAAGGCUGACUAAUACCGGAUACAUGUAUGNNGCGGGGGCAUACAGGAAAGGUGGCCUCUGACGUAAGCCAUCGCACUGGGAUGAGUCUGCGUACCAUUAGCUUGUUGGUGGGGUAAUGGCCUACCAAGGCGACGAUGGUUAGCGGGUCUGAGAGGAUGAUCCGCCACACUGGCACUGGAACACGGGCCAGACUCCUACGGGAGGCAGCAGUGAGGAAUAUUGCGCAAUGGGGGCAACCCUGACGCAGCGACGCCGCGUGAGUGAGGAAGGCCUUCGGGUCGUAAAGCUCUGUCAGCAGGGAAGAAGUGUGAGGGGGUUAACAGCCUUUUCAUUUGACGGUACCUGCAGAGGAAGCACCGGCUAACUCCGUGCCAGCAGCCGCGGUAAUACGGAGGGUGCGAGCGUUGUUCGGAAUUACUGGGCGUAAAGGGCGCGCAGGCGGCUUUAUAAGUCAGAUGUGAAAGUCUACGGCUUAACUGUGGAAGUGCAUUUGAAACUGUGAGGCUUGAGUACCAGAGGGGAAGGUGGAAUUCCCGGUGUAGAGGUGAAAUUCGUAGAUAUCGGGAGGAAUACCGGUGGCGAAGGCGACUUUCUGGCUGGAUACUGACGCUGAGGCGCGAAAGCGUGGGGAGCAAACAGGAUUAGAUACCCUGGUAGUCCACGCCGUAAACGAUGUGCACUAGACGUUGGAGGUAUUGAUCCCUUCGGUGUCGGAGCUAACGCAUUAAGUGCACCGCCUGGGGAGUACGGUCGCAAGAUUAAAACUCAAAUGAAUUGACGG
This 918-nucleotide ribosomal RNA is filed under the name uncultured bacterium. RNAcentral's name for it is "bacterial SSU rRNA". It matches the Rfam family "Bacterial small subunit ribosomal RNA", at positions 20 to 916 of the family's 1533-position model. The record is from RNAcentral.